CAAGCAUCAGAGGCCACCCAGGCGGUGGCAUCGUUGGCAGAGGCCGCAGUGGCAGCUUCUCAGGAGAUGCAGCAGGGAGCUACAGUCACUAUGGCGCUUAACAGCGAAGCUGCCGCCCAUGCUGUCGCCACCCUGGCUGAGGCCACCUUACAAGGUGGGGGACAGAUCGUCUUGUCUGGGGAAACCGCAGCAGCCGUCGGAGCACUUACUGGAGUCCAAGAUGCUAAUGGUAAGAGAGCAUAAAUAUUUUAUUAAAUUUCUUCCCUGUUUCCACUUAAACCUUCCUGACAUGACUGGCAACAAAGCCUUCAGAAAGAGUUUGAGCUUCGAUUUUUUUUUCUUCAUUGGUAGACAUUUCAUGCCUAGGAAUAUUCUGGGAGCCUGUGAUUCCUUUCACUAGUAGGAAACAUGGGGGUUCCUGAAGGAAAAUACUGUGAUAAUGGCUACCUAAUUGAAUUGUUACUUAAAAAGUGAUUAUCGUCUUGUGACAAGACUUGCUGAGAAGCACCUUAAAAUUCACUGUGAGCCACAUUUUGUCUUUUACUGUCUCAUCGGAUAGGGUAGAUCAAUGUCCUUUACUGUAGCAGAGACUCUCUCAUGGGCAGGACCAUCAUGGAAAGUUCUGACUACAUCAAGAAAGGCGCCAAUGUCUCACCUGUGCUUGGGGUCAGGCAGCAGGCUGUGAUGCCGGUGCCUCUCUGGUUGGUACUGUGGUUCUGCUUCCUGUUAUAUGUAGCCUCACGAAGGACCUUUGGAUUUAGCCAAUUACAUGCCCCUACCCUGAGCUUCUUCCCCAGCUCUUUGACUUCCUGGACAUUGGUGAAUAUCCUGAAUAAGCAAAAGGGAUAAAAUUCAUAGAAAUAUGGUGGCAAAAAUAUACAACUUCAGCCCAGUUCUUUGGGUCCAUGUUGGUAAGGAGUCAGUUGGCAAGACAAGCUGCCCAAGGAAGUGCCUCAGAAGUCUGGGUCAAAGAGGAGGGCCAGAUCUGUUCUGUGAGACCCUAUGUGAUUGUUAUAUUUUUAAAUAAUAUAUAAUUAAGCAGGACAAAUUAAAUACUCCAUGGCUUUGGGGAAAUUGUUGCUUUAAAGUCCUGGAAUGGGGCUGGGCACGGUGGCUCAUGCCUAUUAAUCCCAGCACUUUGGGAAGCCAAAGUGGGUGGAUCACCUGAGGUCAGGAGUUCAAGACCAGCCUGGCCAACAUGGCAAAACCCUGUCCAUGGUGGUGUGCGAGGCUGAGGCAAGAAAAUCGCUUGAACCCGAGAGGCAGAGGUUGCAGUGACCUGAGAUUGCGCCACUGCACUCCAACCUGGGUGACAGAAUGAGACUCCGUCUC
Molecule: long non-coding RNA, 1332 nt
Filed under: Homo sapiens (human)
Lineage: Eukaryota; Metazoa; Chordata; Mammalia; Primates; Hominidae
Description: HSALNT0128915
Source: RNAcentral